CCAUGCCCCAAUUGUGAAAAUAGCAAGUUUUCCAUACGUGGAUGCAAGGGACCAAUCUGUUAGCCCACACCCGUAUGCAUUACAGAAAGCUAAUAUUGGUGCAAAGAGGUAGAUAACUAUUAUGUAGUACCAUUUGAGCUGGGUAAAUAUGUGAGGAAGAAUGGUUGUAGAGAUGGCAGCAAUGGUGACAUAACCUGUAACAGCAAACCAUGUUGGGAUUUCAUCUUUGAGAAAGAGUUGAGUGCGGCGCUGUUCGUCAAAAGAGAGCUUCUUGAUCUUUGGAAAGGGACUUGCAGAAGUUGUAUAGACCAUCACCAAGAAUCGUUGCAAUAGCAAUAAACACCCUGUAACCUUGGAGACCAUGUAAACUUUUGGGGCUCAGUUCUGCAGGAUACCAAUGUCCCUUUCUAGUAUCUAGUAGAGGCCACAUUAAACCCCAAGAAAUAAUUCGUCCAAGUAGCACUGAUGUGUUUAUGAUGUAUGGGCAAAUCAUACCUACUCCUACAUAGGUUGCUGAGAAAUCGAAGUAAAACCUGCGGACAUAAAGGUGGAUAAUUAGCCUAAAACAUUCACGGGGUGUGCUUAAUCAAAACAAAAUUCCUCGAAAGUUGAAGAUCAUGGAUGAGUAAAGAACGUGCAUGUUGUCUCUAGCUUGGAGCCCAAAUAAAGGAAAGUUAGAAAAUCCACAAUAAUCUUCGGUUUUGAAGAACCAUUGGAAGAAAGACCAUAAGAAGUUGAAGGAGAAGAACUUGCCUAGCUCUCGUACUUGUUUCUUUGCUAGCUUGGCUCCUUCAGGUGCAUGGCAGCUAUUUAUAAGAUGAGCUGUUGCAGUUCCACUUGGGUAUGUCAGUUUGAAGUCUAUGAUCAUGAUCUUCCGCAGAGGCACCACUGAGAAGAAAGAGGCCAAAAACGCUAACAACAAAAAGAAAGGCAAUAAUCCAUCCUAAAGCAGGGUCUUUAGUAUCUGUCUCAUUAUCUUCUGCCGCUUGUUUGGCAACGAGUUUACUCAUUCCAAAGAGGUAACUCCCAAAGCCACCGCUAAAGGCGAUGCCAGAGGAGGCGACAACACAGGUCUGGAUGACGGUAUUCUCUUGCCUGGUGAAGGGUUGGCUCAAAGGACCAAAUUUUCCGAGAAAAGUAGUCCAAAUCUUGAGGAAAAAGAAGCCCAAAAGACCAGCAGAUACAUUGAGUGAAGGUAUGAUCCCAGUUGUGAGAUUAAGCUUCAUUACUAUGAAGCUAAAUAAUAUGCUCAACACAAAGCUCACAACGAAGGCUCUUAUAGUUAGUUGGUUCCUCCAUAAUGGCACUUCUUGGUCCUCGAAUACACGCUCCACAGACCACUGCUGGUUUUCUCUUUUUUCCUCUUCUUCCUCUACCUCUACCUCAUCUUCUGAGUUUUUCCUCUUCAUCUUCGUUGAAUCGAAACCCACUUCAUUGUUUUGCAUGUUUGGCUUUUGUGAGGGAGAGAUUUGAUCUUCAAUUGAUAUACCAGUAGGAUAGUUGCUUGUGGGUGUCUAGAUCAUAUUAUAGGCUAUAAGAAAAGGAAGAAGACAAAGUAAUUGAAGUGUUUGGCUCAGAACAAGUGAUGCAAAUGCUUUGAAAGGGGCG
This 1608-nucleotide unclassified non-coding RNA is filed under the name Hevea brasiliensis (rubber tree). The record is from RNAcentral. Lineage: Eukaryota; Viridiplantae; Streptophyta; Magnoliopsida; Malpighiales; Euphorbiaceae.